RNA transcript from Cucumis sativus (cucumber), 2162 nucleotides. It is a transcript of the gene named probable mitochondrial adenine nucleotide transporter BTL3, with no coding region annotated. The record is from RefSeq and is a predicted model, not a curated record. Lineage: Eukaryota; Viridiplantae; Streptophyta; Magnoliopsida; Cucurbitales; Cucurbitaceae. The transcript is spliced from 6 exons.
CGAAGAAGAAAAGAGAUUGGAUUAAGUUGGUUUAACGCCUUGGGUAGGCAUGAGUGUUCAUUAUCAUUUCUUCUUAGCCUCGAUAACUGAAACUCUAAAUUGACUCCACCUUCGAAGAUUAUCGAAUCCAUUCUCUCAAAUCCCCAUGAAUCCCACAAUCCAAUCUUCCUUCUCCCUCCAUUGUUGAAAUGCCUCGCCCUGAGCUUGGUUCUUCCCCUUCCUCCUCACACCAACCAUUUAAGCCUCACCGUUUCUCUCCCUCUACCGCCAAUUUCAACUUCUUUGUCCCCGCCGGCGGCUUGUUUCUCGACCCUUCUCUUCCAUCUUCUUUCCUCAAUUCAAUUUUCCCCAAGAGUAACUCAAUUCUAGAUUCCGGUUCUGUUUCUGUUCCCGCUUCUUCUUUCUGUCAUCAAGAACAACCUCUGUUUUUUGGGGUUUUUCGGUCCCGGAAGAACCCUCGCAUUGCGAGCUGCGGGUUUUUGUCUGUUAGUGUUAGAGGCCAUGGAUUUGUUCGGGAGCAGAAGGUUCAUGUUGAUGCCUAUGACACUUGUAAGAAGGCGGGAAAAUGUGGGGAAGAUUUUGCCAUUGUUGAGAAGAAGCAUACUGUACGGACAAGAGGUGCUAUGAAUACUACAAAGCACCUUUGGUCUGGUGCGAUUGCCGCCAUGGUUUCAAGAACUUUAGUUGCUCCACUCGAGAGGCUAAAGUUGGAAUAUAUAGUUCGUGGUGAGCAGAGAAAUCUAUGUGAUCUCGUCAAGAAAAUUGCAGCUUCUCAAGGGUUGAAAGGGUUCUGGAAGGGAAAUUUCGUCAAUAUUCUUCGAACAGCACCCUUUAAAGCAAUCAACUUUUAUGCUUACGAUACGUACAGAAAACAACUGCUUAAAUUGUCUGGACACAAGAAUACCACAAAUUUUGAGAGAUUUGUUGCUGGUGCUGCAGCAGGCAUUACUGCAACCGUACUCUGCCUACCACUUGACACAAUCCGAACGAAGAUAGUGGCACCUGGUGGGGAGGCUUUAGGCGGUGUUAUUGGUGCUUUUCGCCACGUGAUCCAAACUGAAGGGUUCUUUUCUCUUUACAAGGGCUUACUACCCUCCAUUUUAAGUGUGGCACCUUCUGGUGCUGUUUUCUAUAGUGUCUACGAUAUACUCAAGACUGCUUAUCUUCACUCACCCGAAGGAAGGAAAAGAAUCCAGAAUAUGAACCAGCAUCAGCAGGGGCAGGAGUUGAAUGCUCUGGAUCAAUUGGAGUUGGGACCUAUUAGGACUUUACUUUAUGGUGCUAUAUCUGGUGCUUGUGCUGAAUUAGUGACGUACCCAUUUGAAGUAAUCAGGAAGCAACUUCAAAUGCAAGUCCAGGCAACUAGAAUGAGUGCUUUUGCAACCUGUUCUAAGAUAGUUCAGCAAAGAGGAAUACCAGCUUUAUAUGCAGGACUUCUUCCCAGCUUGUUACAGGUACUUCCUUCAGCUGCCAUAAGUUUUUUCGUUUAUGAGUUCAUGAAGAUUAUUCUUAAAGUGGAAUGAACGACGACAACAAAAUUUAGUAGGAGACUGAUCAGUUAGCCCGACACAAUUCACAGUUAAGCAUCAGAAAUGCCCUUGAAACAUAAUCACAUUAUGGUAAUCAAUGAUUGCUUUUGCUGCUGGUUGUGUUUCGCUAUUAAUUCUUUCACUUAAAGAAAUACAAUUUCUUCCUCAAUGUCCCCAAAUCCCUUUAUUUCCUUUUCCUUUUUCUUAUUUUCUUUUCCCCCCAUAGGACUGAGUGCUGAUCAUAAAGCAUAUUCAUCAUUGUUAAGUUUUGACUGCUACAGGAGCUUCGUUUUUAAAAGAAUGUUCCACACAAUCCAACUUUCAUAUUCAUUCUAGCCUGUAGGUGCUGGUUGGCUGCCAAACUUGAACUUAUGCAGUUUAAUGUCAAAAAGUCACAGCUGCGGAAUAAAAAGAAAGAAUAAGCUGAUGAAGCACGUUGGAUUGUAGGUGUUUACCGUUCGAAUCCUUUUCUCCAUACUACUAAGAAAAUUACAUUUUUAGUAUUUAAAAUACUACGAUUGUUUAACCAGUAAUCACCAACUGCAAAGUAAAGUUCCAUACAUGAGGUGGACUAGUUGAGACCUCCCUUAUUCACAUGAUUAGAUGAUUUGAUCUAAUUCUUGAUUUGGUGGA